This 450-nucleotide ribosomal RNA is filed under the name uncultured Alicycliphilus sp. RNAcentral describes it as "bacterial SSU rRNA". It matches the Rfam family "Bacterial small subunit ribosomal RNA", at positions 919 to 1382 of the family's 1533-position model. The record is from RNAcentral. Lineage: Bacteria; Pseudomonadati; Pseudomonadota; Betaproteobacteria; Burkholderiales; Comamonadaceae.
ACCCGCACAAGCGGUGGAUGAUGUGGAUUAAUUCGAUGCAACGCGAAAAACCUUACCUACCCUUGACAUGUCCGGAAUCCCGAAGAGAUUUGGGAGUGCUCGCAAGAGAGCCGGAACACAGGUGCUGCAUGGCUGUCGUCAGCUCGUGUCGUGAGAUGUUCGGUUAAGUCCGCUAACGAGCGCAACCCUCGCUGUGUGUUAUAUGUGUCACACGGGACUGCCGGUCUUAAGCCGGAGGAAGGUGGGAUGAUGUCAAGUCAGCAUGGCCUUUAUAUCCUGGGCUACACACACGCUACAAUGGCCAACACAAUAGGUUGCUAAGCCGCGAGGUGGCGCCAAUCCAUAAAGUUGGUCUCAGUUCAGAUUGUAGGCUGCAACCCGCCUGCAUGAAGAUGGGGUUGCUAGUAACCGCAGGUCAGCUAUACUGCGUUGAAUACGUUCCCGGGGCUU